RNAcentral lists this ribosomal RNA (406 nucleotides) under uncultured bacterium. RNAcentral describes it as "partial 16S ribosomal RNA". It matches the Rfam family "Bacterial small subunit ribosomal RNA", at positions 30 to 526 of the family's 1533-position model. The record is from RNAcentral.
AUUGAACGCUGGCGGCAUGCUUUACACAUGCAAGUCGAACGAGUGGCGAACGGGUGAGUAAUAUAUCGGAACGUACCGAGUAAUGGGGGAUAACCAAUCGAAAGAUUGGCUAAUACCGCAUAUUAUUCGAGCGGCCGAUAACUGAUUAGCUAGUUGGUGGGGUAAAGGCCUAACAAGGCGACGAUCAGUAGCGGGUCUGAGAGGACGAGGCGCAACAUUGGGACUGAGAAACGGCCCAGACUCCUACGGGAGGUAGCAGUGGGAAAGUUUUGACAAGGGGGGCAACCCUGAUCCAGCCAGGCCGCGUAUAGAAGGAAGGCCUUCGGGUUUUAAAGUACUUUUGUUAGGGAAGCGGUACCUAAAGAAUAAGCAACGGCUAACUACGUGCCAGCCGCCGCGGUAAUAC